GGGGCCGUGGGGUAGCUGGUUAUCCUUCCGGCUUCGGGAGCCGGUGACCCGAGUUCAAAUCUCGGCGGCCCCA
This 73-nucleotide transfer RNA is filed under the name Archaeoglobales archaeon. RNAcentral's name for it is "tRNA-Pro". It matches the Rfam family "tRNA". Rfam says of the family: Transfer RNA (tRNA) molecules are approximately 80 nucleotides in length. Their secondary structure includes four short double-helical elements and three loops (D, anti-codon, and T loops). The record is from RNAcentral. Lineage: Archaea; Methanobacteriati; Methanobacteriota; Archaeoglobi; Archaeoglobales. RNAcentral also lists the same sequence under 1 other name.